GACGAACGCUGGCGGCGUGCCUAAUACAUGCAAGUAGAACGCUGAAGGAGGAGCUUACUUCUCUGGAUGAGUUGCGAACGGGUGAGUAACGCGUAGGUAACCUGCCUGGUAGCGGGAGAUAACUAUUGGAAACGAUAGCUAAUACCGCAUAAGAGUAGAUGUUGCAUGACAUUUACUUAAAAGGUGCAAUUGCACCACUACCAGAUGGACCUGCGUUGUAUUAGCUAGUUGGUGGGGUAACGGCUUACCAAGGCGACGAUACAUAGCCGAGCUGAGAGGGUGAUCGGCCACACUGGGACUGAGACACGGCCCAGACUCCUACGGGAGGCAGCAGUAGGGAAUCUUCGGCAAUGGACGGAAGUCUGACCGAGCAACGCCGCGUGAGUGAAGAAGGUUUUCGGAUCGUAAAGCUCUGUUGUAAGAGAAGAACAAGUGUGAGAGUGGAAAGUUCACACUGUGACGGUAUCUUACCAGAAAGGGACGGCUAACUACGUGCCAGCCGCCGCAGUAA
Molecule: ribosomal RNA, 511 nt
Filed under: uncultured bacterium
Lineage: Bacteria
Description: partial 16S ribosomal RNA
Rfam family: Bacterial small subunit ribosomal RNA
Source: RNAcentral